GUAUUUUGAAUUAAGUAUUCAUAAUAUUUUUCAGACAAAUUAGUUAAAGAAUGAGUUGAUGUAUAAAAAUCUCGCCAAGAUUGACGAGAUCUAACAUUGCACACAAGGUGGAUAUGGAUUUUUAAAAAGUGCCAUAAAACACUUUAUUAUGAAUGAUCCUUUCGCAGGUUCACCUACGGAAA
RNAcentral lists this unclassified non-coding RNA (182 nucleotides) under uncultured fungus. RNAcentral's name for it is "sequence contains ITS1, 5.8S rRNA gene". Lineage: Eukaryota; Fungi. The record is from RNAcentral.